Seriola aureovittata is the source of this 1176-nucleotide long non-coding RNA. RefSeq lists it as uncharacterized. NCBI's taxonomy places the organism in Eukaryota, Metazoa, Chordata, Actinopteri, Carangiformes, Carangidae. The record is from RefSeq and is a predicted model, not a curated record. The transcript has 4 exons.
AGAACAGCUGUGGGCAAUUACUAUUUUAAUCUUUUAUAUCAAGAUCAGUUUGGCAUCAACAAUGAGGAACUGGGUGAUGCCCGGCGAUGGGAACCAUCAAUGGUAUGCUGGAUACAACAGUCCAGACCAAGCGAUAGCUGCGCGGGAGACUUCUCCUAAAUGUGUUUCCUGGUUCUCUCUGUGUACAAGUGUGUACAAGACAGUUUACUCAUUCACUUUACUCAUUUACCUCUCAUGCCGAGUUCGUUUAAGCUUUAAACCAGCUGACAACAUUAACACAUACUAGCAACACACAGUAAAAUUAGCUACUUCUACAUUGAAAAAAAUGCUUUUAUGGCUAGCGCGCUAAUCGCGGUUAGCUUUUCUCUUUAACACACGAUGAUGACGUGUUUUCAGUUCAUCAAAGUUAGCUCCAACAUGUUGUUUGCCUGAAAAUGUCUUGUUCGGCGUUCAGUUGUUCUUAACGACACUCGGAGGAGUCGGCGGUUCAUUUUUUCCGGUUUCCACACUGAAAACUGAGUGAUCUGUGCCAACAGAGGGAGGACCUCAUGUACAGAGCAGCCCAUUUGUUUCCAUUCAUCUGGUUGUGGUGAAGGGAGACUGCAUGGACAUCCUUAGUUCUCAAAUGUGCUGUGAUGAUGAUGAUGAUGAUGCUAGAAAACCUCUCCCAGUUGAAUGACAGACUAACUGACGAGUUUGUUUAUUAUUCUGUCUUCAGUAUUCACAGGUAGUUUCUUACCUGCAACUUCAUUUCUGCUGUUGUUGACAGGGCCAGAAGUCCAGUCUAAUCAUCACCAAUGAUGGACCAGCACCAGCCUUUUCUUCUGCAUCUGGCCUCAUCAAUCAACAACCACAUUACAUCAACACCUUGAGGGAUGGCAGAAUCCACCUCAGACCAGAAACCAGCAAGAAACAGUAAGUCAUGCACAUGACUCCACCCCAUACAUGUAUAUAGGCUCAAAUUAGGGUCAAAAUAACUGAACUUGUAAAGUGACCACAACAAAUAAUUCCAAUGUUUGUAGCUGUAAAUCAACAUUUGUUAACCUGUAAAAUAAAUCUGCAUUACAAAUUCAAGUUUAAAAGUAGUUUGUUAUUGCAUUUCCACACAGAUCGUAGUCUAACGUUCAAGAUGAGUUAAAAUGAUAUUCUGUUUAUUACAUUUAAGUUGUUGUCAUA